RNAcentral lists this ribosomal RNA (484 nucleotides) under uncultured bacterium. Its description in RNAcentral is "partial 16S ribosomal RNA". It matches the Rfam family "Bacterial small subunit ribosomal RNA", at positions 29 to 507 of the family's 1533-position model. The record is from RNAcentral.
AUUGAACGCUGGCGGCAGGCCUAACACAUGCAAGUCGAACGGCAGCGCGGGCUUCGGCCUGGCGGAGGGUGGCCGACGGGUGAGUAAUAGAGCGGAACGUGCGCAGUAGCGGGGGCUAGGGCGGCAAAAGCCGGAAUAAUACCGCAUACGACCUGAGGGUGAAAGGGGGGAAUCAUCGGACCUUGCGCCCUUGGACCGGCCGAUGUCGGAUUAGCUAGUUGGUGGGGUAAAGGCCUACCAAGGCGACGAUCCGUAGCUGGUCUGAGAGGACGACCAGCCACACUGGAACUGAGACACGGCCCAGACUCCUACGGGAGGCAGCAGUGGGGAAUUUUGGACAAUGGGCGCAAGCCUGAUCCAGCCAUGCCGCGUGUGUGAUGAAGGCCUUCGGGUUGUAAAGCACUUUUGGCGGGAACGAAAAGGAGCAUGUCAAUGCCACGGUGCGAUGACGGUACCCGAAGAAUAAGCACCGGCUAACUUCGUG